This 489-nucleotide ribosomal RNA is filed under the name Escherichia coli. RNAcentral's name for it is "bacterial SSU rRNA". It matches the Rfam family "Bacterial small subunit ribosomal RNA", at positions 1 to 477 of the family's 1533-position model. The record is from RNAcentral. Lineage: Bacteria; Pseudomonadati; Pseudomonadota; Gammaproteobacteria; Enterobacterales; Enterobacteriaceae.
UUAAAUUGAAGAGUUUGAUCAUGGCUCAGAUUGAACGCUGGCGGCAGGCCUAACACAUGCAAGUCGAACGGUAACAGGAAACAGCUUGCUGUUUCGCUGACGAGUGGCGGACGGGUGAGUAAUGUCUGGGAAACUGCCUGAUGGAGGGGGAUAACUACUGGAAACGGUAGCUAAUACCGCAUAACGUCGCAAGACCAAAGAGGGGGACCCUCGGGCCUCUUGCCAUCGGAUGUGCCCAGAUGGGAUUAGCUUGUUGGUGGGGUAACGGCUCACCAAGGCGACGAUCCCUAGCUGGUCUGAGAGGAUGACCAGCCACACUGGAACUGAGACACGGUCCAGACUCCUACGGGAGGCAGCAGUGGGGAAUAUUGCACAAUGGGCGCAAGCCUGAUGCAGCCAUGCCGCGUGUAUGAAGAAGGCCUUCGGGUUGUAAAGUACUUUCAGCGGGGAGGAAGGGAGUAAAGUUAAUACCUUUGCUCAUUGACGUUA